GGUGAUAUAGCUCAGUUGGUAGAGUGCUUGCCUCAUUAUGCACAAGGCCCUGGGUUCAAUACCCAGCAUCACAU
Molecule: transfer RNA, 74 nt
Filed under: Ictidomys tridecemlineatus (thirteen-lined ground squirrel)
Lineage: Eukaryota; Metazoa; Chordata; Mammalia; Rodentia; Sciuridae
Also listed under: 1 other name
Description: Spermophilus tridecemlineatus (thirteen-lined ground squirrel) tRNA
Rfam family: tRNA
About the family: Transfer RNA (tRNA) molecules are approximately 80 nucleotides in length. Their secondary structure includes four short double-helical elements and three loops (D, anti-codon, and T loops).
Source: Rfam by way of RNAcentral